Molecule: ribosomal RNA, 207 nt
Filed under: uncultured bacterium
Lineage: Bacteria
Description: partial 16S ribosomal RNA
Rfam family: Bacterial small subunit ribosomal RNA
Source: RNAcentral
UGUGUAGGUGGUGUGUUUAGUCUUUUGUUAAAGCUCGGGGCUCAACUCCGAAAAAGCAAAAGAAACGGGCAUACUUGAGAGUGCGAGAGGUUUAUGGAACUCAUGGAGUAGGGGUGAAAUCCGUUGAUAUCAUGGGGAACACCAAAAGCGAAGGCAAUAAACUGGCGCAUUUCUGACACUGAAACACGAAAGCGUGGGUAGUGAACG